GGUGGCUCAGUGGUUGAGCGCUUGCCUUGAAUGCAUGAGGCCCUGGGUUCGAUUCCUCAGCACCA
RNAcentral lists this transfer RNA (65 nucleotides) under Dipodomys ordii (Ord's kangaroo rat). It matches the Rfam family "tRNA". From Rfam's summary of the family: Transfer RNA (tRNA) molecules are approximately 80 nucleotides in length. Their secondary structure includes four short double-helical elements and three loops (D, anti-codon, and T loops). Further hydrogen bonds mediate the characteristic L-shaped molecular structure. tRNAs have two regions of fundamental functional importance: the anti-codon, which is responsible for specific mRNA codon recognition, and the 3' end, to which the tRNAs corresponding amino acid is attached (by aminoacyl-tRNA synthetases). tRNAs cope with the degeneracy of the genetic code in two manners: having more than one tRNA (with a specific anti-codon) for a particular amino acid; and 'wobble' base-pairing, i.e. permitting non-standard base-pairing at the 3rd anti-codon position. Lineage: Eukaryota; Metazoa; Chordata; Mammalia; Rodentia; Heteromyidae. The record is from Rfam by way of RNAcentral.